This is a long non-coding RNA of Fundulus heteroclitus (mummichog), 503 nucleotides long. RefSeq lists it as uncharacterized. The transcript is spliced from 3 exons. Lineage: Eukaryota; Metazoa; Chordata; Actinopteri; Cyprinodontiformes; Fundulidae. The record is from RefSeq and is a predicted model, not a curated record.
UUCCAAUUGCUCUCGGUCCUACCUCAGGUUUUGGAUCCCCUGCUGCCUUCGUUCCACCGUGUUAUGGAGCACAUCCCAGAGAUUCUGCAGCUGAACCGCUGAAGCUGCCAGCGAGGUCACAUCAGCUGGGGACUGGGAGGUUGUUUGUGUCUGGGAGGAUUUCUGAGCUCGCUAUCAAGUGAUCCUUGAGGCGCCACAGCCAUCAAGACAGAAAAUCAGGUAUUCCUGGAACAGUGCUGCUGCAGGUGGCCCUUCAUGCUCACCCUGCCUCUGCUGGAGUCUCUCUUCGAUUAAAUGGGAAUGGAUCGCAGUUGUCGCCACUUGAUGCUUGCUCAGGAGGAGAGCUCGCUUCAAAGUCAACCAAAGGCAGCAGCAGCAAAACGAUGGGCUUCCUAGAUGAAGAACUGUUUGCCAAUUAUCAUCUUUAAUGUAUUUGAAUGUAUUGCAAAAUAAUUUGGAAUAAACUGGACUGUAUUAAGACUGGACCAGAAUCUGAUUGUAUU